RNAcentral lists this ribosomal RNA (427 nucleotides) under uncultured bacterium. RNAcentral describes it as "bacterial SSU rRNA". It matches the Rfam family "Bacterial small subunit ribosomal RNA", at positions 355 to 774 of the family's 1533-position model. The record is from RNAcentral.
UGGGGAAUUUUGGACAAUGGGGGCAACCCUGAUCCAGCCAUCCCGCGUGUGCGAUGAAGGCCUUCGGGUUGUAAAGCACUUUUGGCAGGGAAGAAACAGCCUGGGCUAAUAUCCCGGGCGACUGACGGUACCUGCAGAAUAAGCACCGGCUAACUACGUGCCAGCAGCCGCGGUAAUACGUAGGGUGCAAGCGUUAAUCGGAGUUACUGGGCGUAAAGCGUGCGCAGGCGGUUUCGUAAGACAGACGUGAAAUCCCCGGGCUCAACCUGGGAACGGCGUUUGUGACUGCGAGGCUAGAGUACGGCAGAGGGGGGUAGAAUUCCACGUGUAGCAGUGAAAUGCGUAGAGAUGUGGAGGAAUACCGAUGGCGAAGGCAGCCCCCUGGGUUAGUACUGACGCUCAUGCACGAAAGCGUGGGGAGCAAACA